GAUGAACGCUGGCGGCGUGCCUAAUACAUGCAAGUCGAGCGAACGGACGAGAAGCUUGCUUCUCUGAUGUUAGCGGCGGACGGGUGAGUAACACGUGGAUAACCUACCUAUAAGACUGGGAUAACUUCGGGAAACCGUAGCUAAUACCGGAUAAUAUUUUGAACCGCAUGGUUCAAUAGUGAAAGACGGUCUUGCUGUCACUUAUAGAUGGAUCCGCGCUGCAUUAGCUAGUUGGUAAGGUAACGGCUUACCAAGGCAACGAUGCAUAGCCGACCUGAGAGGGUGAUCGGCCACACUGGAACUGAGACACGGUCCAGACUCCUACGGGAGGCAGCAGUAGGGAAUCUUCCGCAAUGGGCGAAAGCCUGACGGAGCAACGCCGCGUGAGUGAUGAAGGUCUUCGGAUCGUAAAACUCUGUUAUUAGGGAAGAACAAAUGUGUAAGUAACUAUGCACAUCUUGACGGUACCUAAUCAGAAAGCCACGGCUAACUACGUG
This 497-nucleotide ribosomal RNA is filed under the name uncultured bacterium. Its description in RNAcentral is "partial 16S ribosomal RNA". It matches the Rfam family "Bacterial small subunit ribosomal RNA", at positions 28 to 507 of the family's 1533-position model. The record is from RNAcentral.